UGGGGAAUAUUGGACAAUGGGCGAAAGCCUGAUCCAGCCAUGCCGCGUGUGUGAAGAAGGUCUUCGGAUUGUAAAGCACUUUAAGUUGGGAGGAAGGGCAGUAAGCGAAUACCUUGCUGUUUUGACGUUACCGACAGAAUAAGCACCGGCUAACUCUGUGCCAGCAGCCGCGGUAAUACAGAGGGUGCGAGCGUUAAUCGGAUUUACUGGGCGUAAAGCGUGCGUAGGCGGCUAAUUGAGUCGGAUGUGAAAUCCCCGAGCUUAACUUGGGAAUUGCACUCGAUACUGGUUAGCUAGAGUGUGGGAGAGGAUGGUAGAAUUCCAGGUGUAGCGGUGAAAUGCGUAGAGAUCUGGAGGAAUACCGAUGGCGAAGGCAGCCAUCUGGCCUAACACUGACGCUGUGGUACGAAAGCAUGGGGAGCAAACAGG
This 429-nucleotide ribosomal RNA is filed under the name Pseudomonadota bacterium. Its description in RNAcentral is "Proteobacteria bacterium partial 16S ribosomal RNA". It matches the Rfam family "Bacterial small subunit ribosomal RNA", at positions 355 to 776 of the family's 1533-position model. The record is from RNAcentral. Lineage: Bacteria; Pseudomonadati; Pseudomonadota.